UUUGGGCGUUGAUUGUCCCAGUCCCGCAAGGGGACGUGGAGGCCUCGGCCAAAGCGGAUUCUUUAAAUCAUGCAUCGAGAAAAACCCAUAUGAAUACUAUGCGCCCGUACCGGAAACCGACACAGGUGGGUGGGCAUAAAUGUGCCAAGGCGCGUGAGUGAAACCUCGUUAAGGAACUCUGCAAUCUAGCCCCGUAACUUCGGAAGAAGGGGUGCCCACUUUUAGUGGGUCGCAGUGAAAUGGGUGUACCGACUGUUUAUCAAAAACACAGCACUCUGCUAAGUCGUAAGACAACGUAUAGGGUGUGACACGUGACCAAUGCGGAAAGAUUACGGUAAGUGGUUAGGCGCAAGCCGAAGCUACGAGCCCAAGUCCCCGUGAAUGUCGGCCGUAACAAUAACGGUCCUAAGGUAGCGAAAUUCCUUGUCGGGUAAGUUCCGACCUGCACGAAUCGUGUAACGAGUGCACCGCUGUCUCAACGAGGAGCUCAGCGAAGUUGUAAUGGCGGUGAAGAUGCCGCCUACCCGCAGCAGGACGGAAAGACCCUAUGCACCUUUACUGUACGCUGUUACUGUGUUUUCGAUUUUCAUGCUUAGCGUAAGUGGGAGACUUUGAAUCGCUUCUUUCGGGGAGCGACGAGUCGUCAAUGAAACACCACCCUUGGAAAUUGGAAACUCUAACCCUCACCCAUGAUCUGGGGAGGGGACACUGGCAGCCGGUCAGUUUUACUGGGGCGGUAUCCUCCUAAAGAGUAACGGAGGAGUACGAAGGUUGGCUCAACCUGGUUGGUAAUCAGGUGACGAGUACAUGGAUAUAAGCCAGCCUAACUGUGAGACCUACAAGUCGAGCAGAUGCGAAAGCAGGUCCAAGUGAUCCGGUGGUUGAAAGUGGAAUCGCCAUCGCUCAACGGACAAAAGGUACGCUAGGGAUAACAGGCUGAUCGAGUCCAAGAGCUCAUAUCGACGACUCGGUUUGGCACCUCGAUGUCGGCUCAUCACAUCCUGGGGCUGGAGAAGGUCCCAAGGGUCCGGCUGUUCGCCGGUUAAAGUGGUACGCGAGCUGGGUUCAGAACGUCGCGAGACAGUUCGGUCCUUAUCCGCUGUGGGCGCAGGAAAGUUGAGGGGUUUAAACCUUAGUACGAGAGGACCGGGUUUAACGAACCUCUGGUGUUCCAGUUGUCGUGUCAACGGCAGUGCUGGGCAGCUACGUUCGGAAGAGAUAAGCGCUGAAAGCAUCUAAGCGCCAAGCUCCUCCCAAGAUUGACUUUCCCUGAAGAGUCGUGGUAGACCACCACGUUGAUAGGCCAUAGGUAUAAGCGCAGUAAUGUGUUGAGCUUAGUGGUACUAAUAACUCGUUCGGCUUGAUCUA
RNAcentral lists this ribosomal RNA (1368 nucleotides) under metagenome. Its description in RNAcentral is "bacterial LSU rRNA". It matches the Rfam family "Bacterial large subunit ribosomal RNA", at positions 1528 to 2925 of the family's 2925-position model. The record is from RNAcentral.